UUGACCAAUUUCGCUCACCGGAAACCACCGCCGCCGCCGGUCGCCAUGUCGCUCAACCGCCUCAAGGAAACACUCCUUCCCUGCUCUUCCUCCUCCGCGCAGAGCCAAUCUCAACCCCGAUCGCCCUCGCCUCCUCGCCCACCGCGGAGGCCGCCCAAGACCUCCCUCUCGCAGCAGCUCCUCCGACUCGAGGCCUCCUACUCCCUGCCCGCGCCGCCACCGUCCCCUCCCAAACCCUUGAGCCAGAAGACAGCGGAGGAUGCGGCCGAACAACCGACUUCUUCGUCGGAGGAGGACGUGGCCCCCCGCCCCCGACGCCGUCCGGCCCCGCCACCAGCGGCUUCCUUUGAGCCCCGCGGGCCCUAUGAGCCACUUGUCCUCUCGCCGCUCGGAGAGCACCCCAUCGUCCAGGUGCCCCCAUCAAUUAAUUGCAGGCUACUUGCGCAUCAGAGGGAUGGUGUGAGAUUCUUAUACAAUCUGUAUAGAAACAACCAUGGCGGCGUGCUUGGAGAUGAUAUGGGAUUGGGAAAGACUAUUCAAACAAUAGCAUUUUUAUCCUCUGUUAUUGGAAAAGAUAAUAAUCAGGGCGAGAAAUCAACAGACAAAGGAAAGAAGUCCAGUCCUGUACUCAUCCUCUGUCCCACUUCAGUAAUUCGGAAUUGGGAAAAUGAAUUUUCUGAGUGGGCAAAUUUUUCUGUUGCUGUCUAUCAUGGUCCAAAUCGUGACUUAGUUCUUGAAAAAAUUGAAGGUCAAGGACUAGAGGUGCUCAUUACCAGUUUUGAUACUUUUAGGACUCGUGACAAGGUUUUAUGUGACAUCUCAUGGGAACUAGUGGUGGUUGAUGAGGCACACCGACUCAAGAAUGAAAAAUCGAAGUUAUAUACAGCCUGCUUGGGAAUUACUACACAAAAACGCUUUUGUCUCACAGGAACCAUAAUGCAGAACAAGAUAAUGGAAUUAUUUAAUGUGUUUGACUGGGUUGUACCUGGUUGUUUGGGGGACCGAGAACACUUUAGAGAAUAUUAUGACGAGCCCUUAAAACAUGGCCAGAGAUUAAGCGCUCCUGAGAGAUUUGUUCAAGUUGCUGAUAAGCGCAAGAAGCACCUUGUCUCUGUUCUAAAGAAAUUCCUGUUGAGAAGAACAAAAGAGGAGACUAUUGGGCAUCUCAUGCUUGGGAAGGAAGAUAAUAUUGUUUUCUGCAGAAUGAGUGAUGUUCAAAAACGUGUUUAUAGAAGAAUGCUGCAACAGCCUGACAUACAAAUCCUUGUAAAUAAGGAUCUCCCCUGUAGCUGUGGAAGUCCUCUGACUCAGGUUGAGUGUUGCAAGAAAAUUGAACCACGUGGCAUUAUCUGGUCCUAUCUCCACAGAGAGAAUCUGGAUGGCUGUCCUCUAUGCCCCUUCUGCCUUGUUCUUCCUUGCCUUGUCAAGCUUCAGCAGAUUAGUAACCAUCUGGAAUUGAUAAAGCCCAAUCCAAGGGAUGAGAUUGAGAAGCAGAAGAAAGACGCUGAGCUUGCGGCUGCUGUCUUUGAUACAGAUAUUGAAUUAGUUGGCGGUAGUGCUAAAAGUGAGAAUUUCAUGGGUCUCAGUGACUCAGAACACUGUGGAAAGAUGCGUGCACUGGAAAGACUUCUGUCUUUGUGGACCCUACAGGGUGACAAGAUUCUUCUUUUCAGCUAUUCUGUCAGAAUGCUCGACAUACUAGAGAAGUUUCUUAUAAGGAAGGGUUACUGCUUUUCUCGCUUAGACGGGUCAACACCCAUGAAUGCACGCCAAUCGCUAGUUGACGAAUUCAACAAAAGCCCUAGCAAACAGGUUUUUCUUAUAUCUACCCGGGCAGGCAAUUUAGGCGUUAACCUUGUCAGUGCUAACCGUGUGGUGAUUUUUGAUCCAAGUUGGAAUCCUGCACAAGACUUGCAAGCACAGGACAGAUCGUUCCGAUUUGGACAGAAACGGCAUGUCACAGUAUUUCGCCUACUUGGAGCUGGAUCCCUAGAAGAACUCAUUUAUUCUCGACAAAUAUAUAAACAACAGCUUUCCAACAUUGCAGUCUCAGGGAAAAUAGAAAAGCGAUACUUUGAUGGUGUGCAGGAUGACAAGAAAUUUCAGGGUGAGCUCUUUGGGAUCUGUAAUCUGUUCCGUGACUUGUCUGAUAAGCUUUUUACUAGUGAGAUUAUUGAGAUGCACGGAGAGGAUGAGAAAGCUAAAACAUCUGAAGAAACAGGGAUAAGAGAAAUAGUUGACACUGAUUUAUUUGGUACACAAGGGCAAAUGAAAUCAUCCACGGCAGCAAUAGGUGAUGAAAAUCAGGCAUUGGCUGAUUAUGGAGUUGUGUAUGCUCACCGGAACGAGGACGUUGUUAACUCUAGGACGCACGACGACGACAACAACGAAAGAAACGACGACGCGACAGAAGAACGCGUCGAGGGCACCUCGGAAGGCCUGCAUAGUAAGAAGCAAAUAAAGCCCACGGCGGACAGGGCGAAACUUCGCUCGGUGGAGGAACAGAAACGGAAGGAGUUCAGCCGUAUCGCGGCCUGUGUGGGUAUGAACGACCUCGAGUUCAGCAAGUGGCUGCUAUCCGUCUCUCCUAUGCAGCGGCAGCGGGUCCUGGACGAUCAUAGGAAGAAAAGAAGUUUCACCGAACAAUAAAUUACGCAGGGCUUCUUCAGAUUUUUUUUUGCUUCAUAUUUUUUGGAAGGCCUUGAGAGUGGAGUAGUGCCGAGCUUUCACAUAUGCUUUGGCUGUCUAGCAAGGGAAGGCGAGACGAAAGUUGGCUCUAAGCUUGCGUGACCAUAAACAUGACGCCCAAAUCAAAUCGGUGCUCCAGGGAACAGCAAUGAAGUCGCAACAGCGCUUGCUUAAGAGGAGGAACUCUUGCCUACCAAAACUUUGACAUCAGUUGGACAUAACAUCAGAUCAUCCGCACAACGAUGCAGAGUAUUGUGUGGUUCGACGGCUCAGUGGUUUGUUCUAUUUUUCGCUCAUGUCUUUCGAUACUACUUCCUCGGUCCCAAAUUACUACUUGUCGCAUAAAUGAUGUAUCUAAAACUAAAAAGUACGUCUUCAUUUCUGUAAGUAAUUUAGAACGGAGGGAGUAUAAAUAUCUACAUUAUCAAAAAAAUAAAUUAUUGUUCACUCCUUUCAUCGCUUUUACUUAGGUCCAGUUCUUUUCAGCUUAUGGAGGGGCUUAGUUGAGGAUCUCAGGUCAAACCCAAAAAGAUCUGGUUUUCUAAGCAGGGCUUUACUUCCAAGCCGCCGCUCGCCCUAUGUAGUUGGAAGCAGACGAAGGGAGUCAAUUUUCGACGUAACCCUGUAACCCUAAGGCCCUGUUUGGUUCGGCCGUGGAUUUCUAAAAGCAGCUGUGAAAAUCUGCUGUGGAAAAACAACUAUGGAAAAUCUGAUGUAAAAAAGAUGUAGGUCAUUUGUCAAACCAGCUGAUACAACUUUUUCAG
This is an RNA transcript of Triticum aestivum (bread wheat), 3452 nucleotides long. It is a transcript of the gene named switch 2, with no coding region annotated. The transcript has 9 exons. The record is from RefSeq and is a predicted model, not a curated record. NCBI's taxonomy places the organism in Eukaryota, Viridiplantae, Streptophyta, Magnoliopsida, Poales, Poaceae.